GUCUGGGAAGGCGUCUCUGGGGAGGUGACAUUUCAGAUGUAACCUUAAUGAUGAGAAACCAGAUUGUGAGAAUCUUCUGGAAGAGCUUUCCAAGCUGCAGAAACCAAGAGUGGCCAAGGAGCAGAAAGAAGCCAUUGCAGCCGGAGUGUGGAGAGAGAGGUGGCAGCAGGGCCGGGGAGACAGGAUGAUGGGCUGAACUUGCAAGGCAGAUGGGAAAACUAGGGUUCAACAGUUAAUGAAGCUCUACAAGUUCACACUGCCGGAAGUCAGAACUGGAACCCAGAUCCUUGGAUUUAAUCCUGUGUUCUAUUUCAAAUCAAGAAUUCCUGAGGGGGCUGCUAGUGAAAUUUUAUGUAGAGGUUUAUUUGGACAGACAGUUCUUAAUACUAAAAUAAGAUUAAGUUUAAAAAUACUUUGAAAUUUUAUUAUAAAAAUAAUAUAAUCCUAUCAAAGAAAAGUUAAAAAGAGAAAAUAAAAAGCUAACUCUCUAGUUGUACUUUGUCACCAGUUGCUCCAGGCAGAUAAAAUGAGGCCUGAGGAACAGUGGGAUAGGCAGAAAAUGCUGCUGGGAUGGACAGACUCUGUGGCCUGGCACUGAUUAAGCUCUUGAUUCUAAAUAUGUUCCUGUGCUUCUGAUGUGGGGAACAUCCAAGAGGAAACUAUUCCCUAGAGAAAGAAGAUCCACUUUUGAUGGCCAUCAUCAUCUGGAGAAGGGAGGGCAAUUUGGGUCACUGGUGUAAGGGUGUGUGUUAAAAGUUCAGGUACUGGGUCCCAUUCUAGAAGAUCCCAAUGCCCACUUGUCAUAGUAAAGCUUCUAGGGUCUAGUAAUACAGCAGUCUUAAAACAUCACGCUUAAGUGAACUGUUCCCAGACUUAUUUAGUAAUGGAUUUAAGAGAAUGUAUAAUACCCAGUAGCAUCCCAAGCACUUGGAUUCUAUGGAACAUACUUUGGGAAAUGCUUCAAUAAAGCAGUAAGAAGAAAAUUCAUUCUUUUGAGAAAAAAUGUUUGGGGAUAUUAAGUCAGAGGCUUGGGUUUUUUUUUAAAAAAGAUGGUUUUUCAGAUGCUGAUUUAGGGACCAAGAAUAGGACUAAGGAAUGCCCCUGCUAGCAAAG
Molecule: long non-coding RNA, 1113 nt
Filed under: Homo sapiens (human)
Lineage: Eukaryota; Metazoa; Chordata; Mammalia; Primates; Hominidae
Description: HSALNT0061006
Source: RNAcentral